This 487-nucleotide ribosomal RNA is filed under the name uncultured bacterium. Its description in RNAcentral is "partial 16S ribosomal RNA". It matches the Rfam family "Bacterial small subunit ribosomal RNA", at positions 28 to 507 of the family's 1533-position model. The record is from RNAcentral.
GAUGAACGCUAGCGAUAGGCUUAACACAUGCAAGUCGAGGGGCAGCACAAGGUAGCUUGCUAUCUGGGUGGCGACCGGCGCACGGGUGCGUAACGCGUAUGCAACUUGCCCUAUACAGGAGGAUAACCCGUCGAAAGACGGACUAAUACUGCGUAUGCUCACAACUUGGCAUCAAGUGGUGAGGAAAGAAAUUCGGUAUAGGAUAGGCAUGCGUCCCAUUAGCUUGUUGGUGAAGUAACGGCUCACCAAGGCAACGAUGGGUAGGGGAACUGAGAGGUUUAUCCCCCACACUGGUACUGAGACACGGACCAGACUCCUACGGGAGGCAGCAGUGAGGAAUAUUGGUCAAUGGGCGCGAGCCUGAACCAGCCAAGUCGCGUGAAGGAUGACUGUCUUAUGGAUUGUAAACUUCUUUUAUACGGGAAUAACAAGAGUCACGUGUGACUCCCUGCAUGUACCGUAUGAAUAAGCAUCGGCUAACUCCGUG